Molecule: non-coding RNA, 45 nt
Organism: Schistosoma haematobium
Lineage: Eukaryota; Metazoa; Platyhelminthes; Trematoda; Strigeidida; Schistosomatidae
Source: Rfam
AUCCAGUUGAUUAGUCCCAAAUAGAACGAAACACGCGUCCUGGAU